Aplysia californica (California sea hare) is the source of this 1952-nucleotide long non-coding RNA. RefSeq lists it as uncharacterized. The transcript is spliced from 2 exons. The record is from RefSeq and is a predicted model, not a curated record. NCBI's taxonomy places the organism in Eukaryota, Metazoa, Mollusca, Gastropoda, Aplysiida, Aplysiidae.
UCCAACGAGCGCCGCCAGUUGUACACGGGCCUGGGAAGCGUUUCAAUACCCGUGGCGUUUGGCGGACGGACGACACAGUCAGAUAGACGAGUUUAAACUCCUCACGCGCAAGGACGGGUUUCCGCAACUUCUCGGCCUUGUUUCAAGACGUAUUUAUUUAUAGUAUCUUCUUAGAUCGGCUUAGUGUUUUAGUCAACUAAUGUGUGCUCACUUUAACAGUGGGAAAGAAAAUUGAAUUGUUGUUAAGUGUAGAAAUAUAACGGCUUAUAAUAGAAAUAAAGCUUAGCGUGGGUUUGGCCACUAAUUGAGAUUACCUUCCUGCUUCAUCAUAACCAUUAUAAUACUGCUACAGAUCUAGAUCUAGAUCUAGAUUAGAUCUCUGACUAAUUUAUAGCUCUGGUAAAUUGUUGAGAGUGUAGCAUAGGCUGUGUUAUUCUGGUGAACCAGGAUGUUGCUCUGAUCGUGUGGAAGCAGGUGUGCUAAUUUUCUACAGGCGCAUGUUUCAUCAACCUGAGUUCAACUCGCAGUGUCAGACUGAUGUGUGGUAGUGUACGAAUUACCAACCCCAUCAACGUGGCAUUUUCCAUGUGUCUUGCCAAAGUGUGCCGCGGACAUACGUAACAUAUCUUUCCUGGUUUAUCUUUCAUAAAGAUUCGUUUCUGAAAUUAAAGUUUUGUUUGACGCUCAAACGUCUGUGAAAAGAACAACAAAAUUGACAGUGAUUCUAAAACCACCACAAUGAACGCCGAUGAUGUACCUGCAACGACACCUCUCAACAACGGAGGAAAUGCAUCCAAUGGUGAUGUGGAGGUUGGGGGUCAGCCCGUGUCGUCUUUGGACGCUGGUAUCGAGGAACGAACCCGGGUAGCCUGGGACUCAAAGCUACAGUACUUCUUCAUGGUCAUCUCUUACGCUGUGGGUCUCGGCAACGUCUGGAGAUUUCCCUACCUCACUCAGAUGCACGGCGGAGGUGAGUGGCGUUUUGAUCUAACGUAAAAUCAAGGACAUGUGGUUACUUGAGGGAGGCAUUGUGCUGCAAAGAGCGAAAUGCUCGCUGCUAAAGGGAUUUGAAAACAAAAACAACAGCAGCAACAACAACAACAUCUAACGUAAAAAGCAUGGAGUUACAAUGUUGUCUGCAUGUAGCCUGGCAAGUAUUUUUUAUGCGAGACACGUUAUGAGUUCUGGGGGUGUUUGCAACAAGGUUGCUUCGGAGUGGCCUUGGUCGUCCUCUUUUUAUCAAGCCCGAAAAUCGUGUCAAUGUGUUAUAAUCUCGAAGCGCUGGCUGUUCGAGAGGCACGCUUGUGAGGCAGUCAACCCACUUUAUCCUCUGCUGUCUUAUUUAUUGUAGGACUGGUGUUGUUCCUAGCAUGUCUGUGAUGACCUUUUUCCUGAUUAUACCCUUCCAACAAAAAAUAUUUUAAUUCUCUGUGAAAACGAGAGAAUGGCCUUCCUCCUAAAGCCCUACUUGAUUAUGAUAAGAGGCCAAUUUAUUGUUGCGGUCUCGGGAAUGUUGGUUUACAAUAGUUAUUAGAUUGAUAUUGUGUGUAAACUAAAUGAUAUAAUACACAAAACGACGCCAUUGCAGGAAAAUUGUCUGACUGUGAUCCUGAAAAUUAAAAGCCAGUCCCGAGCAUAUGGAGAUGCUCGUAAUCUUUUCUGUUUUAAACGAGUGAUUUUAACAAUGAUCCAAUUUGUUUGCUACUUCUUUAUUAGUACGUGUACAAUAUUAUAUUUGAAACAAAUGGAUAUGAGAAUUGGCAAUAUUUAUGGGGUUUUAGCAGAAUAUUUGGACGUUCUAUGACUGGGAGAGGGGCUGGGGUUAGUUGGCAAGAGAGAGGGAGACAACGCGCUGAAUGCUCAUGAGUAAGAAAAAUAUAGAGUGAGAGAGACAGACAAAUUGGUAGAAGUGUACGAAUAAUUUAAAGAAAGAAAAACAGGCACGUAGAAAA